Molecule: ribosomal RNA, 225 nt
Filed under: uncultured bacterium
Lineage: Bacteria
Description: partial 16S ribosomal RNA
Rfam family: Bacterial small subunit ribosomal RNA
Source: RNAcentral
UAACGCGUGGGUGACGUACCUAUUGGUGGGGAAUAACUGCCCGAAAGGGUGGCUAAUACCGCAUACGUCCACUGCUUCGUGGCAGUGGGGAAAACCUCGCAAGAGGUGCCGAUGGAGCGGCCCGCGUUCGAUUAGCUGGUUGGUGGGGUAACGGCCUACCAAGGCGACGAUCGAUAGCUGGUCUCAGAGGAUGAUCAGCCAGACUGGGACUGAGACACGGCCCAG